AGUGGCGGACGGGUGAGUAACACGUGGGUAAUCUGCCCUGCACUUCGGGAUAAGCCUGGGAAACUGGGUCUAAUACCGGAUAUGAACUCCUGCCGCAUGGUGGGGGUUGGAAAGUUUUUCGGUGCAGGAUGAGCCCGCGGCCUAUCAGCUUGUUGGUGGGGUAAUGGCCUACCAAGGCGACGACGGGUAGCCGGCCUGAGAGGGUGAUCGGCCACACUGGGACUGAGACACGGUCCAGACUCCUACGGGAGGCAGCAGUGGGGAAUAUUGCACAAUGGGCGAAAGCCUGAUGCAGCGACGCCGCGUGGGGGAUGACGGUCUUCGGAUUGUAAACCCCUUUCAGUAGGGACGAAGCGCAAGUGACGGUACCUGCAGAAGAAGCACCGGCUAACUACGUGCCAGCAGCCGCGGUAAUACGUAGGGUGCGAGCGUUGUCCGGAAUUACUGGGCGUAAAGAGCUCGUAGGCGGUUUGUCACGUCGUCUGUGAAAUCCCUCGGCUUAACCGGGGGCGUGCAGGCGAUACGGGCAGACUUGAGUACUACAGGGGAGACUGGAAUUCCUGGUGUAGCGGUGAAAUGCGCAGAUAUCAGGAGGAACACCGGUGGCGAAGGCGGGUCUCUGGGUAGUAACUGACGCUGAGGAGCGAAAGCAUGGGUAGCGAACAGGAUUAGAUACCCUGGUAGUCCAUGCCGUAAACGGUGGGCGCUAGGUGUGGGGUCCUUCCACGGACUCCGUGCCGUAGCUAACGCAUUAAGCGCCCCGCCUGGGGAGUACGGCCGCAAGGCUAAAACUCAAAGGAAUUGACGGGAGCCCGCACAAGCGGCGGAGCAUGUGGAUUAAUUCGAUGCAACGCGAAGAACCUUACCUAGGCUUGACAUAUACAGGACGACGGCAGAGAUGUCGUUUCCCUUGUGGCUUGUAUACAGGUGGUGCAUGGUUGUCGUCAGCUCGUGUCGUGAGAUGUUGGGUUAAGUCCCGCAACGAGCGCAACCCCUGUCUCAUGUUGCCAGCACGUAAUGGUGGGGACUCGUGAGAGACUGCCGGGGUCAACUCGGAGGAAGGUGGGGAUGACGUCAAAUCAUCAUGCCCCUUAUGUCUAGGGCUUCACACAUGCUACAAUGGCUAGUACAGAGGGCUGCGAUACCGCGAGGUGGAGCGAAUCCCUUAAAGCUGGUCUCAGUUCGGAUUGGGGUCUGCAACUCGACCCCAUGAAGUCGGAGUCGCUAGUAAUCGCAGAUCAGAAUGCCGCGGUGAAUACGUUCCCGGGCCUUGUACACACCGCCCGUCACACCAUGGGAGUGGGUUGCACCAGAAGUAGAUAGCCUAACCCUUUUGGAGGG
This 1341-nucleotide ribosomal RNA is filed under the name Dietzia sp. RNAcentral's name for it is "bacterial SSU rRNA". It matches the Rfam family "Bacterial small subunit ribosomal RNA", at positions 94 to 1450 of the family's 1533-position model. The record is from RNAcentral. Lineage: Bacteria; Bacillati; Actinomycetota; Actinomycetes; Mycobacteriales; Dietziaceae.